CCUACGGGGGGCAGCAGUAGGGAAUCUUCCACAAUGGGCGAAAGCCUGAUGGAGCAACGCCGCGUGGGUGAAGAAGGUCUUCGGAUCGUAAAACCCUGUUGUUAGAGAAGAAAGUGCGGGAGAGUAACUGUUCAUGUUUCGACGGUAUCUAACCAGAAAGCCACGGCUAACUACGUGCCAGCAGCCGCGGUAAUACGUAGGUGGCAAGCGUUAUCCGGAUUUAGUGGGCGUAAAGGGAACGCAGGCGGUCUGUUAAGUCUGAUGUGAAAGCCUUCGGCUUAACCGGAGUAGUGCAUUGGAAACUGGGAGCCUUGAUUGCAGAAUAGGGGAGUGGACCUCCAUGUGUAGCGGUGAAAUGCGUAGAUAUCUGGAAGAACACCAGUGGCGAAUGCGGCUCUCUGGUCUGUAACUGACGCUGAGGUUCGAUAGCGUGGGUAGCAACCAGGAUUAGAUACCCCAGUAGUC
RNAcentral lists this ribosomal RNA (465 nucleotides) under uncultured bacterium. RNAcentral's name for it is "partial 16S ribosomal RNA". It matches the Rfam family "Bacterial small subunit ribosomal RNA", at positions 338 to 795 of the family's 1533-position model. The record is from RNAcentral.